Molecule: small nuclear RNA, 105 nt
Organism: Nomascus leucogenys (northern white-cheeked gibbon)
Lineage: Eukaryota; Metazoa; Chordata; Mammalia; Primates; Hylobatidae
Source: Ensembl
GCUUCAGCAGGAAACAUAUACUCAAAUUUUAACAAAAUGCAGAGAAGAUUAGCAUGACCCCUGCAUAAAGAUGAUGCACAGAUUUGUGAAGUGGUCCAUAUUUUG